GACGAACGCUGGCGGCGUGCUUAACACAUGCAAGUCGAACGGAAAGGCCUCUUUCGGGGGGUACUCGAGUGGCGAACGGAUGAGUAACACAUGAGUAACCUGCCCUCGUCUUUGGGAUAACUUCAGGAAACUGGGGCUAAUACCUGCUAGGAGCUCCUGCUGCAUGGUGGGGGUUGGAAAGUUUCGGCGGUUGGUGGUGGACUCGAGGCUUAUCAGCUUGUUGGUGGGGAAGUGGCUUACCAAGGCUUUGACGGGUAGCCGGCCUGAGGGGGUGACCGGCCACAUUGGGACUGAGGUACGGCCCAGACUGCUACGGGAGGCAGCAGUGGGGAAUCUUGCACAAUGGGUGGAAGCCUGAUGCAGCAACGCCGUGUGCGGGAUGACGGCCUUCGGGUUGUAAACCGCUUUCGCUCAUGACGAAGCUUUGUGUGACGGUAGUGGGUAAAGAAGCACCGGCUAACUACGUG
This 467-nucleotide ribosomal RNA is filed under the name uncultured bacterium. RNAcentral's name for it is "partial 16S ribosomal RNA". It matches the Rfam family "Bacterial small subunit ribosomal RNA", at positions 28 to 507 of the family's 1533-position model. The record is from RNAcentral.